RNAcentral lists this ribosomal RNA (466 nucleotides) under uncultured bacterium. Its description in RNAcentral is "partial 16S ribosomal RNA". It matches the Rfam family "Bacterial small subunit ribosomal RNA", at positions 28 to 507 of the family's 1533-position model. The record is from RNAcentral.
GAUGAACGCUGGCGGCGUGCUUAACACAUGCAAGUCGAACGGAAAGGCUCCUGCUUGCAGGGGUACUCGAGUGGCGAACGGGUGAGUAACACGUGGGUGAUCUGCCCUGCACUUCGGGAUAAGCCUGGGAAACUGGGUCUAAUACCGGAUAGGACCACAUUUUGGAUGGUGUGGUGGAAAGUUUUUCGGUGUGGGAUGAGCUCGCGGCCUAUCAGCUUGUUGGUGGGUAAUGGCCUACCAAGGCGUCGACGGGUAGCCGGCCUGAGAGGGUGUACGGCCACAUUGGGACUGAGAUACGGCCCAGACUCCUACGGGAGGCAGCAGUGGGGAAUAUUGCACAAUGGGCGCAAGCCUGAUGCAGCGACGCCGCGUGGGGGAUGACGGCCUUCGGGUUGUAAACUCCUUUCGCUAGGGACGAAGCGUUUUUGUGACGGUACCUGGAGAAGAAGCACCGGCUAACUACGUG